CUGAUGAGAGAAGCCCAAUACUUGACUUUUUAGGGUUUCACCUCUUUCUCACUCAACAGUCCCUCACUGCCUCUCUCUCUUUAAUUGUCUUUUGGUUGUGUUAUUUGAUAUGAUUUUCUUGGGAUUUGUUGAUGGGAUUUCUGGGUUUUUGAAUUUGGUUCCGAAAUUCGAUAUUUGGGAUUUUUUGGAGUUGGGGGUUGUGUUAAUUGUCAUUAGUUGUUCCGUUUGAAUUGAUGAUAUGAUUUCGGGUAUUAACUAUUGUAAUUCUUGUUGUAUGUGUUUUGUUUUGGGGCAAGUGUUGUGGUAGAAAUAACGCUUGUUCUUUGUGUUUUCACUUCCUUUGUUAUUCUCAGAGGUUAUUUAUUUAUUUUUUUUAAAAUCCUGUGAUUCCUACUGAGUGAAAAACUGAAAAUAUUAUUGUUAUUUGUAACUUCACUACUAAUUAUUUUCUUCAUGGCUAAUUGGUUUGUUGUUUAAUAGUGGCUUUCCUGUGUGGAUGCGAGAUAUUCCUGGUAUUGAAUUUCUAACAGAUAAUGCACUUUUUAAGGUAAGCGUUAAUGUGUUAUGUAGUCUCUCUCAACUCUCAAAAAAAAAAGGGGUAAAUAUGCUCAUUAAUAGUCAUCUGCUGCAUUUCAGAUUUCCUCAAUAAUUUUGAUUGAAUGUUUCUUCAGGAGAAGAUGCAAAGAUUUGUUACAAAGAUUUUAAACUUAAUGCGGGAGGAGAGUUUGUUCUCUUGGUAAGGAGGGCCACUAGUACUAUUGCAGGUUGAGUGAUUUUUAGUUUCGUGUUGAAGUAGGAUACUAGUUUCCUUAUCUAUGUUUACAUACUUCUGCACAAAGACCCCCUUCCCCCAAACAGCAGCAACAAUAAAGCUUUAAUCCCAAAAUGAUUUGGGGUCGGCUAACAUGUGUAAUAGACUUAGCUCCUGCUAUAUAUGCUUUAAAGUUUCCUUAGUUAUUUAUGAAUAUGAUCUAGUUCCAUGCUGUUACCAUUAGUUUUUUCAAGUAUCAGAUCCUGAAAUUUGCAACUGUUGCUAUUAUUUGACCUACAUGAUCAGUCAAUAUGUUUCACAUCAUUGCUAAAUUUGGUAUACAAUAUGCUUAAUAUUGUUUUGCAAUUACACAACUUUACAGGUUUCUCUAGGGGCCUGAAACUGAUCCGGAAACAGUACGUAAAAUCAGAGAUGCAAUUAAUAAUGAAACAAAUGUUACUGUUCAGCUGAUUAACUACACAAAAACUGGUAUUCUUUACUUUCUGGACUUUGCUCAACUAUACCCCCACCCUCAUCCCCUUACAUUAGGGUUGGGAAUUGAUUAGGUGGAAUUUGCUUGGGAUUUCCUAGUGCUUCUAUGUACUAAAACACUGAUUUUAUGUCAAUGAAGUUUAAGAGGCUCAAUAAGGAUAUUACUCUAUAUUACUUGUGCUAUAAUAGUUAGUUACUUUCCUUCCUUCAGGUGACUAAUAAUAUUGCUAAAAUGUCUGUAUAGUCGUGAUACCUUCUCCUGCAUAUCAUCCUUUUAAAUGAAUCAUGUAAUUGCAAGAUUCCAUUUGUUUCCUGUAUUGAAGCAUCUUUGCCAUAUUGAUUCAAAUACUUGCAUGAUGUAAACUCUUCCAUACUCUAGAAAUAAAGUACUGAUGGGAAAAGGCAUGGAUUUACCAGUGUUACUAUGUAGCAGUGUAUGUUUAUCACUAAAUCAGUUUUUAUUAUCUAAAAUCUACAAGUAUAAACCUUGGAACAAGCUUCUGUUUCCGAAUCUGUGGUCAAAUAAGUUGCAGAUGACUGUGAUUUACUGAAUUUAGGGAAAAAAUUCUGGAAUGUGUUCCAUUAACAGCCCAUGCGUGACCAAAAGGUAUAACUUUCUUUACUGCCUUCAACAAUUGUUUGUAAAUUGUCUCCUACUGAUUAUUAAUUUAUAUUCUCUUAAGCCCAUGUCAUGAUUUGAUUCAUUGUUAUUCUCUUAACUAUUCCUUGUGUGUUUGUCUGUGAGUAGGGAGAAGUCCAGUACUUUAUUGGGUACAAUUAGAUGGUAGUCAGCAUGUCGAACCACUUUAAAACAGCAUUCCGGUAGCUACUGUAACUGAGAGUGAGAAGCUGGUAAAAGAAACUGCACAAAAUGUUGAUGUUGUAGUCAGAGAACUUCCCGAUGCCAACAAGAAACUUGAGGACUUGUGUGUGGGCAAAUCAUUCAAAGUUUGUACGAGCUAAACCACAUAGGAAGGAAUGUGCCUCAUGGAAAGCUAUUCAAAAGGGUCAAGAUCAAUGCGAGCAAAACCUCUUCAUUGGACAUCUUGUUCACAUCCACCAAGCAUCCAAGCUCAACCAUGGCAAAGUUCGAAGAGUUAUGUUCAGACUUGCUUGACAUAAAUUCUUUCUUCUGUCUUAGAAGCAAAAGCAAUGGUUGAAGAAGCGGAACGAGCUUUGGAGGAGAAGGGUGAGAUCACCCCAAAUGAAGAGAGGUUGGAAUCAGUGAAAGCAGCUGCAGUUUGUGCCUUGGUUGGAACCCUUGAUGCUGUCCCAAUUGUAAUAAUUAUAAAUUGUUGGUUGGAAUAAAAAAAUUGUUGUUUCUUUUUUUUUUUUUUUUUUUUUUUUUUUUUUUUUUUUUUGUGGCCAACUGUAAUAAUUAAAACUUGUGGAAUAAAUAAAAAUUUACAUUGAAUAAUAAACUGCCAACAGCCCAGCAAAUUAUGCUGGGAUUUUUUUUUAA
Chenopodium quinoa (quinoa) is the source of this 2705-nucleotide long non-coding RNA. RefSeq lists it as uncharacterized. The record is from RefSeq and is a predicted model, not a curated record. The transcript has 4 exons. Lineage: Eukaryota; Viridiplantae; Streptophyta; Magnoliopsida; Caryophyllales; Amaranthaceae.